Molecule: ribosomal RNA, 404 nt
Filed under: uncultured prokaryote
Also listed under: 1 other name
Description: bacterial SSU rRNA
Rfam family: Bacterial small subunit ribosomal RNA
Source: RNAcentral
UGGGGAAUCUUGCACAAUGGGGGAAACCCUGACGCAGCGACGCCGCGUGAAGGAAGAAGGCCUUCGGGUUGUAAACUUCUUUGAUCGGGGACGAAAAUGACGGUACCCGAGGAACAAGCCACGGCUAACUACGUGCCAGCAGCCGCGGUAAUACGUAGGUGGCAAGCGUUGUCCGGAAUUACUGGGCGUAAAGGGCGUGUAGGCGGGGGGACAAGUCAGAUGUGAAAUACCGCGGCUUAACUGCGGGGGUGCAUCUGAAACUGUUCUUCUUGAGUGUCGGAGAGGAAAGUGGAAUUCCCAGUGUAGCGGUGAAAUGCGUAGAGAUUGGGAGGAACACCAGUGGCGAAGGCGGCUUUCUGGACGAUAACUGACGCUGAGGCGCGAAAGCGUGGGGAGCAAACAGG